RNAcentral lists this ribosomal RNA (433 nucleotides) under uncultured bacterium. RNAcentral describes it as "partial 16S ribosomal RNA". It matches the Rfam family "Bacterial small subunit ribosomal RNA", at positions 29 to 507 of the family's 1533-position model. The record is from RNAcentral.
AACGAACGCUGGCGGCAUGCCUAACACAUGCAAGUCGAACGAGACCUUCGGGUCUAGUGGCGCACGGGUGCGUAACGCGUGGGAACCUGCCCUUAGGUUCGGAAUAACUCCCCGAAAGGGGUGCUAAUACCGGAUAAUGUCUUCGGACCAAAGAUUUAUCGCCUUUGGAUGGGCCCGCGUUGGAUUAGCUAGUUGGUAGGGUAAAAGCCUACCAAGGCGACGAUCCAUAGCUGGUCUGAGAGGAUGAUCAGCCACACUGAGACUGAGACACGGCCCAGACUCCUACGGGAGGCAGCAGUGGGGAAUAUUGGACAAUGGGCAAAAGCCUGAUCCAGCAAUGCCGCGUGAGUGAUGAAGGCCUUAGGGUUGUAAAGCUCUUUUACCCGGGAUGAUAAUGACAGUACCGGGAGAAUAAGCUCCGGCUAACUCCGUG